CCUAUCAACAAUUCUUUUUGGCUCUUGUAGUAAAAAAUUUGGAUAAUAAAUGUCACGCCCCGAAUUACCACGUUUUUCCGGGCACGUCAACAGACCCGCCGUAUAUAUAGAAAUUUUUCGUGUAUGCGAAGCGAUAGCUGUACCUGUAAGCACGACAAAUCUACACCGGUCUACAACACCUCUUCGCUCCAGCGAGUACAGCAACAACAAAAAUCUCCUCGAACGCUCGAACGCUCACCCAACGUCGGCAAGAAGUCGACAGGA
This 264-nucleotide long non-coding RNA is filed under the name Ananas comosus (pineapple). RNAcentral's name for it is "long non-coding RNA (ACOM_LNC044822)". The record is from RNAcentral. Lineage: Eukaryota; Viridiplantae; Streptophyta; Magnoliopsida; Poales; Bromeliaceae.